Molecule: ribosomal RNA, 253 nt
Filed under: uncultured bacterium
Lineage: Bacteria
Description: partial 16S ribosomal RNA
Rfam family: Bacterial small subunit ribosomal RNA
Source: RNAcentral
UACGGAGGGUGCAAGCAUUGAUCGGAAUUACUGGGCGUAAAGGGCGCGUAGGCGGCUUUGAAAGUCAGAUGUGAAAUUUCGGGGCUCAACCCCGAAGCUGCAUUUGAAACUUCAGAGCUAGAGUUCAGUUAGGGUAAACGGAAUUCCACGUGUAGCGGUGAAAUGCGUAGAUAUGUGGAAGAACACCGGUGGUGAAGACGGUUUACUGGGCUGAUACUGACGCUGAGGCGCGAAAGCCAGGGGAGCGAACGGG